This 535-nucleotide ribosomal RNA is filed under the name uncultured bacterium. RNAcentral describes it as "bacterial SSU rRNA". It matches the Rfam family "Bacterial small subunit ribosomal RNA", at positions 306 to 852 of the family's 1533-position model. The record is from RNAcentral.
GUCCACACUGGGACUGAGACCCGCCCCAGAGUCUUACGGGCGGCAGCAGUGGGCAAUAUUGGGCAAUGGGGGAAAGCUUGACCCAGUAUUGCCGCGGGAAGGAUUAAGGCAUUGGGGUUGUAAACUUCUUUUAUUAGGUACGACGGAUGUGACGGUACCUAAUGAAUAAGCCCCGGCUAACUACGUGCCAGCAGCCGCGGUAAUACGUAGGUGGCAAGCGUUGUUCGGAUUUAUUGGGUGUAAAGGGCGUGUAGGCGGGAAUGCAAGUCAGAUGUGAAAUCCAUGGGCUCAACUCAUGAAGUGCAUUUGAAACUGUUUUUCUUGAGUGAUGGAGAGGCAGGCGGAAUUCCUAGUGUAGCGGUGAAAUUCGUAGAUAUUAGGAGGAACACCAGUGGCGAAGGCGGCUUUCUGGACAUCAACUGACGCUGAUGCGCGAAAGCGCGGGGAGCAAACAGGAUUAGAUACCCUGGUAGUCCGCGCCGUAAACGAUGAACACUAGGUGUGGGGGGGAAUUGACCCUUUCCGUGCCGGCAGC